Molecule: ribosomal RNA, 221 nt
Filed under: uncultured bacterium
Lineage: Bacteria
Description: partial 16S ribosomal RNA
Rfam family: Bacterial small subunit ribosomal RNA
Source: RNAcentral
GUAAUGUAUGGGGAUCUGCCUGAUGGCGGGGGAUAACUACUGGAAACGGUAGCUAAUACCGCAUAAUGUCUGCGGACCAAAGCGGGGGACCUCCGGGCCUCGCGCCAUCAGAUGAACCCAUAUGGGAUUAGCUAGUAGGUGAGGUAACGGCUUACCUAGGCGACGAUCCCUAGCUGGUCUGAGAGGAUGAUCAGCCACACUGGGACUGAGACACGGCCCAG